Molecule: unclassified non-coding RNA, 520 nt
Filed under: uncultured Glomus
Lineage: Eukaryota; Fungi; Glomeromycota; Glomeromycetes; Glomerales; Glomeraceae
Description: SSU rRNA
Rfam family: Eukaryotic small subunit ribosomal RNA
Source: RNAcentral
AGCAGCCGCGGUAAUUCCAGCUCCAAUAGCGUAUAUUAAAGUUGUUGCAGUUAAAAAGCUCGUAGUUGAAUUUCGGGACCAAUUUGUUGGUCGUGCCUCGGUACGUACUGGUAUUAUUGGUUUCUCCCUUCUGAAGAACCUCGAUGCCAUUAAUUUGGUGUCGUGGGGAAUCAGGACUGUUACUUUGAAAAAAUUAGGUGUUUAAAGCAAGCAUACGCUUGAAUACAUUAGCACGGAAUAAUGAAAUAGGACGUUUGAUUCUAUUUUGUUGGUUUCUAGGAUCGACGUAAUGAUUAAUAGGGAUAGUUGGGGGCAUUAGUGAUUCAAUUGUCAGAGGUGAAAUUCUUGGAUUUAUUGAAGACUAACUACUGCGAAAGCAUUUGCCAAGGAUGUUUUCAUUAAUCAAGAACGAAAGUUAGGGGAUCGAAGACGAUCAGAUACCGUCGUAGUCUUAACCAUAAACUAUGCCGACUAGGGAUCGGAUGAUGUUAAUUUUUUAAUGACUCAUUCGGCGCCUUAC